CCUACGGGUGGCAGCAGUGGGGAAUAUUGCACAAUGGGGGGAACCCUGAUGCAGCGACGCCGCGUGGGUGAAGGAGCACCUCGGUGCGUAAAGCCCUAUCGGCAGGGAAGAAAGGCGGGCGGGGCCCGUCUGGACGGUACCUGACUAAGAAGCCCCGGCUAACUACGUGCCAGCAGCCGCGGUAAUACGUAGGGGGCAAGCGUUAUCCGGAUUCACGGGGUGUAAAGGGAGCGUAGACGGCGACGCAAGUCUGGAGUGAAAGCCCGGGGCCCAACCCCGGGACUGCUCUGGAAACUGCGGCGCUGGAGUACGGGAGGGGCAGGCGGAAUUCCUGGUGUAGCGGUGAAAUGCGUAGAUAUCAGGAGGAACACCGGCGGCGAAGGCGGCCUGCUGGACCGUGACUGACGUUGAGGCUCGAGAGCGUGGGGAGCAAACAGGAUUAGAUACCCUGGUAGUC
RNAcentral lists this ribosomal RNA (457 nucleotides) under uncultured bacterium. RNAcentral describes it as "partial 16S ribosomal RNA". It matches the Rfam family "Bacterial small subunit ribosomal RNA", at positions 338 to 795 of the family's 1533-position model. The record is from RNAcentral.